RNAcentral lists this unclassified non-coding RNA (343 nucleotides) under soil metagenome. Its description in RNAcentral is "partial contains 5.8S ribosomal RNA, internal transcribed spacer 2, and large subunit ribosomal RNA". The stretch from base 1 to 120 matches the Rfam family "5.8S ribosomal RNA", at positions 35 to 154 of the family's 154-position model. The record is from RNAcentral.
GAUGAAGAACGUAGCGAAAUGCGAUAAGUAAUGUGAAUUGCAGAAUUCAGUGAAUCAUCGAAUCUUUGAACGCUCAUUGCGCCCGCCAGCAUUCUGGCGGGCAUGCCUGUUCGAGCGUCAUUUCAACCCUCGAGCCCCCCCGGGGGCCUCGGUGUUGGGGGACGGCACACCAGCCGCCCCCGAAAUGCAGUGGCGACCCCGCCGCAGCCUCCCCUGCGUAGUAGCACACACCUCGCACCGGAGCGCGGAGGCGGUCACGCCGUAAAACGCCCAACUUUCUUAGAGUUGACCUCGGAUCAGGUAGGAAUACCCGCUGAACUUAAGCAUAUCAAUAAGCGGAGGA